GAAAUGCGAUAAGUAGUGUGAAUUGCAGAAUUCAGUGAAUCAUCGAAUCUUUGAACGCACAUUGCGCCCCUCGGUAUUCCGUGGGGCAUGCCUGUUCGAGCGUCAUCUACACCCUCAAGCUCUGCUUGGUGUUGGGCGUCUGUCCCGCCUCCUUCGCGCGCGGACUCGCCCCAAAUCCAUUGGCGGCGGCCCUUGCCUCCCUCUCGCGCAGCACAUUGCGCUUCUCGAGGCGCGGCGGACCGCGUCCAGCAAGCAACCGUCACAACGUCUUUGACCUCGGAUCAGGUAGGGAUACCCGCUGAACUUAAGC
This 310-nucleotide unclassified non-coding RNA is filed under the name plant metagenome. RNAcentral's name for it is "partial contains 5.8S ribosomal RNA, internal transcribed spacer 2, and large subunit ribosomal RNA". The stretch from base 1 to 105 matches the Rfam family "5.8S ribosomal RNA", at positions 50 to 154 of the family's 154-position model. The record is from RNAcentral.